Molecule: ribosomal RNA, 293 nt
Filed under: uncultured bacterium
Lineage: Bacteria
Description: partial 16S ribosomal RNA
Source: RNAcentral
GGACUACAAGGGUAUCUAAUCCCGUUUGCUCCCCACGCUUUCGUGCCUUAGUGUCAGUAAUGAGCCAGUAGACUGCUUACGCCAUUGGUGUUCCUCCCUAUAUCUACGGAUUUCACUCCUACACAGAGAAUUCCAUCUACCUCUCUCAUACUCUAGCUUAGCAGUUUAGAUAAUGUAUGUAUGGUUGAGCCACACGCUUUCACUAUCUACUUGCCAUGCCACCUACGCAACUCUUUACGCCCAGUAAUUCCGGAUAACGCUUGGACCCUACGUAUUACCGCGGCUGCUGGCAC